This is a non-coding RNA of Camellia sinensis, 2313 nucleotides long. Lineage: Eukaryota; Viridiplantae; Streptophyta; Magnoliopsida; Ericales; Theaceae. The record is from RefSeq and is a predicted model, not a curated record.
ACAACAAAAGGUAUGUUUUCUUUUCUUCUUCUUCUUCUCUCUCUCUCUCUCUCCCUUUCUCCCUCUCGCUCUAUUUCGUUGCCGACCACAGAGAGGGUGCCGCUGACUACACUCACUCGAACGGUGCUGCCCCUCCGUCUCUUGCAUAGCCGAUCGCGAGCAGCACCGAUCGUGACCCUCUCUAUGGUUGCUGCUAUCUCCCCUCUCUCUGUUAUUGUUCUUCAUAUUUGUUUUGGAGAAGACAAGUUUUAUCGGUUGGUGUUCGUUGUGGGUAAGUACUCGUAUGUGGCCAUAUUUGUUCACUGCUUCCUGCGAAAAAACCAUUUUGUAUAUUUAGAAAUAAAAACAAGAUAUAAAUUAUAUCUCUUAGAUCUCUAUAAUAAACCAAUUGAUUUUUAUAAUAUAUAAAAAAAUUAAAUUAAGAAAAACCCAUAAUUUUCUACUCUAAAUAGACCCAUCAAGCCCCUGAAGAUUCAGAUUGUGUUGAAUCUUUUCCUCUUCUCUCUCACUGAAAGAUACCCAAAAGCCUUCUCCUCGGCCUCUCAUUCUUAAGGUAAUUUUGAUUUAUUUCUUUUUAAAAUUUUCAAUUUAAUUUGUUAUUGCAAGCUUGGAUCUUUCAUUCGAUUGAUCUGUAUAUUGAUGUGAAUAUCAUUGGAUGGUACUUUUUGUUUCAAAUGAUAUAUGGGUUAUGCUCUGUUUUCGAGUUUAACAUUGAUUUGUUUUUGUUUUUGUUACUAUGAUUUGUUUUUUUUAUAAUUUGAGAAUGUGGAUAAAUAUUACUCACCUAGGUAAUAAAUAUUCCUCCACCAAACUCAAUCCUGUAAUUACUUUAUCUUCUAUGAGUUUUGGUUUUGAAACAAAAAGAUAGGUUGCAAUCCAAGAAAUUUAGAGAAAAUAGUGCCAAAUUUUGCUUGAUUUGUUUAGAGCUCAAAGAAUUAUAGUGAAAGCCAAUGAAGAAAAAUUAGGGUUUAUAUAAUGUGAAAACAUUUAUGCCCUGCAAUUUAUGAUGUACUGAAUUGUUUCAUUACAUUUUUGAAAACACCUGUUUUAGCAAAUUUUUAAUUUUAUUUUUUGUUUCGUUGAUUUUGGUUUUCAAAGCAUAGGAAAUUCACUCCAAGAAAUGUAGAGAAAACACUACCAGGUUUGCUUGAUUUGUUUAUUGUCUACACAUGAGAAGGGGGCUUACAUAGUGGAAUAUAUAUAUAUAUAUAUAUAUAAUAAAUAUACAAAUAGAAGGUGGCCUGCUAUGAUUUCUUGGGACUAUCUCUACACAUGUGCACCAAAAGACUAAAGUUGAAUUUAUUUAUUUUUCUUUGAAUAGUUGAAGUUGAUUCAUAUAAUUUGGUCAUUGUAGGAAUGUGAUUCUGUACAUUUGAAGGUGGAAUUGUUAAUAUAAAUUUCAUACCAUGUUUUAUGUAUUUAGGAGCUUAAUUUAUGGGUAUUAAUUGAUUGUGAUUUCUAAUUUAGCUUGUUGGUUUUUAAUGAAUAAUUCUAUACAUACUAACAAUCUUACUAAAAUUAUAAAUGGUUAGAUGUGAUUGGUUAUCAAAAAAAUAACAAGAUUUAAACCACCAAAUAAUAUUUGGACAUGGAUGUUUUUAGUAGGAUUCUGUUUUUGUUUUUUGCUGUUAAUUUAUCCAUGGAACUUUUCAAUAUGUGUCAAUUUAAUGUUGGGCUGCUUGAUGCUAAUGUGAAUGGGUCAUCUAUUCCAACCAUGACGAAACUCAAUGGCAGGCCUAAAGGUAAUAAAUAUAGUUUUUUUAAUCAUUUGAAUCCUUCUUGACUUGUUUCAAAAUCUAUGGUGUCAUUGAUGUGAAGUACUAUAAUGCAUGAUAGUGAAUUGCUAAGGGUAGUUCUAAGAGAUAUAGAUUUGCUUUUAAUUUACUGCUCAUAUUUUACUAGUUAAUUUAAUAUCCCUUUCUUGCUCACAUUUUAAUGUGAAUAUUCUUUGCUUGUGUCAGAUUGGUGUUGGAUUAGAUAUAGUUGGUACCUUUUGAAUUAUGUUAUGAUAUUUUCUACUGCUUCUUGAAAACUAUGGAAUCAGUGUGAAAGUUCUUGGACAUGUGUCAAGGGGAGGGGACUUGAUUGGGGAAGCUUGAUAUUCUCGUGGUGGAUACGCUGUUGGGACUGAUUGACAAUGGAUGGAGCACAGUUCGGGGAGCAUAAGAGGAUUACAUUUUAAAUUUUUGGAUAUAUUUUGUCAUAGGAUUUUGUACCUUGGAAAUUUUUUUGUAAUCAUUAUGUACAUGUUUGAAGUUUCGGAUUGUAAUGGAUUUGCUUAUGUUGGAUGUUUUGGAUUUGAUAAUUUGAACA